RNAcentral lists this ribosomal RNA (491 nucleotides) under uncultured bacterium. RNAcentral's name for it is "partial 16S ribosomal RNA". It matches the Rfam family "Bacterial small subunit ribosomal RNA", at positions 28 to 507 of the family's 1533-position model. The record is from RNAcentral.
GAUGAACGCUGGCUACAGGCUUAACACAUGCAAGUCGAGGGGAAACGACGUGGCAGCUUGCUUCCCCGGGCGUCGACCGGCGUACGGGCGAGUAACUCGUACCCAACCUGCCUCUCACUGAGGGGUAACUCGUCGAAAGUCGGCCUAAUUCCUCCUGCCAUCUACUGCUUGCUUCCUACGACUUUUAAGAAUUUCAUCGUUCAGAGAUGGGGAUGCGUCUGAUGAGCUUGUUGGCGGGGUAACGGCCCACCAAGGCGACGAUCAGUAGGGGUUUUGAGAGGAAGGUCCCCGAGAUUGGAACUGAGCCCCGGUCCAAACUCGUAGGAGCGGCAGCGGUGAGGAAGAUUGGGCAAUGAGCGAGAGCCUGAACCGGCGAAGUAGCGUGCAGGAUGACGGGACUAUGAGUUGUAAACUGCUUUGAUGCGGGGGUAAAGUGAGGGAAGUGUCAUUCAUUGAAGGUACCGCAUGAAUAAGGACCGGCUAAUUACGUG